AGCGAACGCUGGCGGCAGGCUUAACACAUGCAAGUCGAGCGGGCACUUUCGGGUGUCAGCGGCGGACGGGUGCGUAACGCGUGGGAACGUGCCCUCUGGUUCGGAAUAACUCAGGGAAACUUGAGCUAAUACCGGAUACGCCCUUUUGGGGAAAGGCUUGCUGCCGGAGGAUCGGCCCGCGUCUGAUUAGCUAGUUGGUGAGGUAACGGCUCACCAAGGCGACGAUCAGCAGCUGGUCUGAGAGGAUGAUCAGCCACACUGGGACUGAGACACGGCCCAGACUCCUACGGGAGGCAGCAGUGGGGAAUAUUGGACAGUGGGCGCAAGCCUGAUCCAGCCAUGCCGGGUGAGUGAUGAAGGCCUUAGGGUUGUAAAGCUCUUUUAUCCGGGACGAUAAUGACGGUACCGGAGGAAUAAGCCCCGGCUAACUUCGUG
Molecule: ribosomal RNA, 435 nt
Filed under: uncultured bacterium
Lineage: Bacteria
Description: partial 16S ribosomal RNA
Rfam family: Bacterial small subunit ribosomal RNA
Source: RNAcentral